AGCUGUUCCCCUCUGGAGGUUUUUUAACCUUCACACUUAUAAGGGCCCUGGUUUUCCAGUGGCCCUCUUUUUUUGCCUUG
RNAcentral lists this unclassified non-coding RNA (80 nucleotides) under Rhizobium aethiopicum. Its description in RNAcentral is "suhB". The stretch from base 1 to 71 matches the Rfam family "Alphaproteobacterial ar15", at positions 44 to 112 of the family's 112-position model. Lineage: Bacteria; Pseudomonadati; Pseudomonadota; Alphaproteobacteria; Hyphomicrobiales; Rhizobiaceae. The record is from RNAcentral.